GACGAACGCUGGCGGCGUGCCUAAUACAUGCAAGUCGAGCGGACGGAUGGGAGCUUGCUCCCAGACCGUCAGCGGCGGACGGGUGAGUAACACGUGGGCAACCUGCCUGUAAGACUGGGAUAACUCCGGGAAACCGGGGCUAAUACCGGAUAACUCUUUCCCUCACAUGAGGGAAUGCUGAAAGAUGGCAUCUCGCUAUCACUUACAGAUGGGCCCGCGGCGCAUUAGCUAGUUGGUGAGGUAACGGCUCACCAAGGCAACGAUGCGUAGCCGACCUGAGAGGGUGAUCGGCCACACUGGGACUGAGACACGGUCCAGACUCCUACGGGAGGCAGCAGUAGGGAAUCUUCCGCAAUGGACGAAAGCCUGACGGAGCAACGCCGCGUGAGUGAUGAAGGUCUUCGGAUCGUAAAACUCUGUUAUCAGGGAAGAACAAGUACCGGAGUAACUGCCGGUGCCUUGACGGUACCUGACCAGAAAGCCACGGCUAACUACGUG
This 498-nucleotide ribosomal RNA is filed under the name uncultured bacterium. RNAcentral describes it as "partial 16S ribosomal RNA". It matches the Rfam family "Bacterial small subunit ribosomal RNA", at positions 28 to 507 of the family's 1533-position model. The record is from RNAcentral.